GGGAAAUAAUCAGUAACACAUUGGGCAGUACAAACAGAAAGACUCUAUAAGAUUUCUCUCUCCAAAAAUUUGACUUAUUUAUCUGUAUUCAAAACGUCAAAUGUUUGGGCUCAUUGAUUAGAGCAGAAAAUAUUGAUGCUGCUUGUUUUCUUUACAAAGCACUGACCUGUUGCUUUUUAAAGUCUGGUCAUGGUGAUGUGGUGGUGGUUUGUUUUCUCAUCCCAAUUCGAACGUCCAAAAGAAAAUCCCAAUCUAGCUGACACCUAAACAAUAGAAUGUUAUAUUAGUUUGUCGUCCAAAAUGGAACGCACACAAGGCAGCCUGGCUGGCCCCAGUUUCACAGUCGACUGCCGACUUCACUUCAGAUUAUGUAAACAUGUAUUGCAAAACAGCUCUGACGGGAACCUCAUAACCCAAACACUGUUCUCUGAAAUGUAAUUUGUUGUCUUUUUAUAUAAAAGAAGAAAUUAAAUCAAAAUUAUUUUGAAGAAAAACGACUCUGGGAUUUUGUUUAAUUGAACUUUGCCAGGAAAUGCCAUUGCCUAGUAGCACUGACCCCAGGGUAGAAGGAGACAAUCUUUUGCAGGGUCAGACUUCUCAAGUGACUCUGCAUGUGUCACAUGAGGUCACUCAAGUGACCGAUGCAUGUCUCACAUGCCCUCCCUCAUGUUCUAGAUCCUAAAAAAAAAAAAGGUAUAUGCUUUGUAUGUUAACCAAAACCUAAAAUGAUCAUCCCUUUUGGACAAUAAUACUGUGUGACUUCUCCCUCUAAGAGCAUUUCAGAAUGAAUGUGGCACUUCAGAUAAGUGUAGCCCAGUUUCUGGCAAAGAGCUUAGUAUCAUAAUCUUACAGAGCCAUUUAAGGCAAUAGAGAGCUCUAAUCUUCUGCCUGCCUUAAGUAAAAUUCCUUUUUUUCCCCAAUGCCAUUUUUUAAAAUAUAUUUCUCAACUCUUCUGCAAAGAUAAAAUAAGGCUGUGUCUUUUUAAAAGAUUAAAAAUUCCUCCAUUCUCCUUAUUCAUCUCAGGCCAUAAAGUACAGGGCUGGGAUAGGGAUUAGAAAGAGCACACUCUGCAGAUUUUUCCUCCUUUGGGUCUCUCUUGAUAUCUCAAGUAAUCCAACUGUGUUUGGUUUUAACAGACACUUAAUAUACACUUGUUUAAUCAAUUAAUGAGGCAGGAUUCCACUUUAAUGGAAAACAAUAAUUGCUACUUUUUAAGAGUUUUUCGUUUCUACUUGGAGUUCAGUACCCCCCAAAAAAAAAAAAAAUUGGGCCAUUCAGAUUCAGAAUUAGUCUCUCGGCCAAUUCGGCCAAUAUUUAAGUACUAACCGGAUGCCAGACUCUGUGCUAAGCACAGAGCAUCCAGUGGUGAACAAGGUGGAUGUGGCCCUGACAGCAUCCUUGCCCACCCUCUGAACUCGGGCAGCUGGUCAUUUUCCAAGAUAAAACAACUUUAAUUAUAAUCACACAAAGUUAUGUAGACAUGUGGACAAAAACUGGAAGGGGCCACAGAAGAAUAAAUGUGGGUUACCUGUUGAAGUGAUGAGACUCUAGGUGAAUCAUUUAUGUUGUUACUUUAUUAUCUGCGUGACAAGCUUUCUAAAAGGAUGUCUGUAUUAAAAGAAGGCUUGUAGAAAUUUAUCUAGACUCAAGCCAUGAAGUAAAGGACCAACUUACAAAGAACCUUUGGGAUGGGGGAUAGAGGUCAUUGGUUACAGGGCAGGUCCAAGUUUAGUGGGGCCUGAAGUUAUAUAAUUUGUUCUUCCCUCUUAAGGAAAAACAUACAAAAUUAGGAAGAACCCCAUACAAGUGAGGAUCCCUUGCUUUAACGAUUUUUAGCUUUAAGGUAAAUCAUCCACACAGCUCUGGGGACGGGACUUAGAAGACUGAAGGAGGUGUAAUGAAGAAAAGUUUCAGCACUCGAAUAUGUCAAGCUUUGAGUGCCUCUGCUACCUUUAAGAACUGCAACUUUUACUAGAUCUGAGCCUUUACUUCUCAAAGAGUCUAAUUGGAUUUAGCAAAAUAGCAUGGGAUACAAAUUCAGUAAUGGUUAAUAUGGGAUCACAAUAGGACAUUUUUCUUUUUUAGAGAGGUUUUACUUGGGAAUGGGUUUUGCAGCAGGGGGGUUUCCUUUUAACUUUACAGAAAUAAUAGAGUUCAAAGAUACUGUUUGUCAAAUACCUAUUCAAUGAACCUUAGAGAUGAGGAACAUUUUAAGGGCUCUUGAUGCAGAAAACAAGCCACCAAGAGCAACAUUAGAAUAAGGUAACAUUUAUUUAUUCAUACUUCACUGUCCCAGAAGGGACCUAUUUUCACUACAGUAAAAUAAAAUCAACUGCAUAAUUGUCUCCUUUUUUAGAGACUAAAUUAGAACUUUAUGACACUCCUUAAGGAGAGGAAACUAUUCAAAUAAUUAUACCUUUUAUAAUUUUAUAGUUCUUUGUAGCUUAUAUUAUAGUUCUUUAUUGUAGGUAGAUAAAGCAUAAUUCAAUGCGGUAAACGUAUUGAUGAUUGUCCUAGAAUUGGAAAUGCAAAUAUAGAGUUAUCCUUCCCAGUGCUGCUAGAAUUCUCUUAAUGUAACAUGAACCUGAUUAUAUCCCUCCUGUAAAAUCCUUCAGUGCCCCAAUAGAAAAAUGGGCAAGGGCCUUUGUAACAGCUCUCAGAGGAGCAACUGCAAGUUAACAUGAAGAUUUAAAAAGUUCAGAGUCGAAAUACUGAUCUGUGCUAACGAAUAAACCUCAAAAACAUGAAAGUGAAGGAAGCUACAUGCAAAAGACUAACAGUUCCAUUUAUAUGAAAUGUCUAGAAAGGGCAAAUUUACAGGAACAGAAAGCGAAAUAGUAGUUGCCUGUGUCUGGGGGUGGGAGCAGGGACUCACUGUAUAUGGCCAUGUGGAGGAGAUUUUCUAGGGUGAUAGAAAUGUUCUAAAAGUGGAUUGUGGUAGUAGUUGCACAACUAUAUAAUUACUAAAAUCAUUGAAUUGUACACUACAUUGAAUUUUAUGAAGUGUAAAUUAUCCCUUGAAGCAGUUUUUUAAAAAGUUCAACCUCAGUAGAAAAGUAAUUUAAAAUGCUUUCUACUUGUCGAAUACUAAAAGAAUAGUAACUAUUAUUAUUAUUAUACACUGACAAACGUAUGGGAAUGAACACUCAUACACAAGUGGUUGGUGUAAAAGUGGGUGUAAACUUUCUGAAGAUAAUUUGACAAUAUGCAUCAAAGCCUCAAAAUGCUCAUAUACUUUGACUCACUUCCAGAUGUAUGUCCUAAUUGGAAGGUGUAGAUAUAUAAACACAAAGAGAUAUUUAUCUCUUUACUAUUUGUAAUGGAAAAAUUAGAAACAACCUAAAUGUCCAACAAUAGGAGAUAAAUUACAGAAUACCCAUCAAUAGAAUACUGUUUAGCUAUUUAAAAUGACGAUGCAGGUGCCUAUAUGUAAUAAGUGUGAAAAAGAUGUUCAUAAAUAUAAGUAAAGAGAGUACAAUUAUGUAUAGAAUUUAAAAUAUUUGUGUAUAUAUAUGUAUAUGUUGGAAGUUUAUAUAACAAAUAUGAAUAUUGGGCAUCUCUGGGUAUUAGGACUAUUGGGUGUUUCUUUUCUCAUUUGUUUAUCUGUAUUUUCUAAAGUUUUUAAAUGUGUCAUGUUUUAUGAAAAAAAGCAAUAAAAUUUUUUUUUCU
This 3669-nucleotide long non-coding RNA is filed under the name Phocoena sinus (vaquita). RNAcentral describes it as "lncRNA (ENSPSNG00000008875.1)". The record is from RNAcentral. Lineage: Eukaryota; Metazoa; Chordata; Mammalia; Artiodactyla; Phocoenidae.